GAGUUUGAUCCUGGCUCAGGAUGAACGCUGGCGGCGUGCUUAACACAUGCAAGUCGAACGGGCGAAUUAUAUCGGAGGUCUUCGGGCCGAAGAGAUAAUAAGCUAGUGGCGGACGGGUGCGUAACGUGUGGGUAAUCUGCCUUUGUCAUAGGAAUAACUGCUUGAAAAAGUAGCUAAUACCAAAUAACAUAUCGUAUAGGCAUCUAUAAGAUAUCAAAGAGAAAUCGGACAAAGAUGAGCCCGCAUCUGAUUAGCUGGUUGGUAGGGUAAAAGCCUACCAAGGCGACGAUCAGUAGCCGGCCUGAGAGGGUGAACGGCCACAUUGGAACUGAGACACGGUCCAAACUCCUACGGGAGGCAGCAGUGGGGAAUAUUGCACAAUGGGGGGAACCCUGAUGCAGCAACGCCGCGUGAGUGAAGAAGGCUUUCGAGUCGUAAAACUCUGUUGUAAGGGAAGAUAAUGACGUACCUAAAAG
RNAcentral lists this ribosomal RNA (476 nucleotides) under Filifactor villosus. RNAcentral describes it as "bacterial SSU rRNA". It matches the Rfam family "Bacterial small subunit ribosomal RNA", at positions 9 to 465 of the family's 1533-position model. The record is from RNAcentral. Lineage: Bacteria; Bacillati; Bacillota; Clostridia; Peptostreptococcales; Filifactoraceae.